UAAUAUUGCAGGUAGAAAUACGCUGUAUACUCGUGUAAUUGAAUUAACGUUUAAGCGAUAUGUAAUAUCGUCGAUGCACGGGGAAGCCGCCUUCGGGCGGCUUUUUGCAUACAU
Molecule: non-coding RNA, 114 nt
Submitted as: unclassified sequences
Source: Rfam